UUUGCCCUUGGGUUUAUAAUACGGUGUCAAUUUCGGUAACCCAUUGUCUCCUUUCGUGUUUUUUUUCAAUUUUUAUUGAUAAUCUUGUAACUUUCAACAUAUUUUGAAUACGGAUUUUACAUUUUGGGAAAGUUGCCGAAAUUGUACCGAUUUCUCAAGAUCGACCAUGCCCUGGGUGAAGUGCUGAUCGCAUGAAUAUCUAUGGUACAGCAGUAGUGCCUGUGAGAAUGGUACGGGGUGAAUGAUACUAACGUGACUCAUAAAAUGGUGACCAAAUCUAUGUUAUAAUUUGUUCUUUUCUCUAAAUCGAUAUUUGAUUGUUGGAUCGGAAUUAUCACACGUGGUGCUGCUUUGUGAUACCAGAGAAAAAUAGCAGAAAAGUGGUGUUCAGUGGCUGCUUUCCGAUAGAGGGCAGAUGUACUACAGUAGAUGGCGUUUGGAUUGGCUGCAGUCCAUAUGCAGUUUGGUGUGUCCCAGAGCUGUUUGCAGAAAAACGGCACAGUGACACAUUUGAUUCUGGGCGAGUGGCUGAGAUUCGAUUUGUGGAUCAACACUUUUUCACAGGCUGAAAUCUUAAGGAAGGACCCCCACAUGGACUUCUUCACCCCGAGCCUCGAACCCCCAGAAGGGAUGACUCUGAAUACAGGAUAAGUGUUAAAUAUCUUCGAUUUUUUUGUCUAAUGCUGUCCCGUACAACGAACA
Molecule: long non-coding RNA, 702 nt
Organism: Zootermopsis nevadensis
Lineage: Eukaryota; Metazoa; Arthropoda; Insecta; Blattodea; Termopsidae
Source: RefSeq, a predicted model, not a curated record